Molecule: unclassified non-coding RNA, 1020 nt
Filed under: Bombus terrestris (buff-tailed bumblebee)
Lineage: Eukaryota; Metazoa; Arthropoda; Insecta; Hymenoptera; Apidae
Description: misc RNA ENSBTSG00005031907.1
Source: RNAcentral
AAUAAAUGAUGGAAUAAAUAUAAAAAUCAUGAGUUGAAAGAAAAUGCGCAUUAGGUGCCGGUUGCCGGCGUAACUUCUCGAACAUUCAGUACUGCGACGCCGCACGGCUAUAUAAGAGGGCCGGCCGGCUUGGCUCGGCGCAUUCGUAAAUAAACUUUCGUUCUGUUCGGACGCAACGAACACCCGAAGACCCACCAACCAGUGAACAUACCUCUACUUCUUUUACGUGGUCCACGAGGCUGCUGACAACACGAGAAAAUGUAGACGAGACGGAUUUGGUGCGGAGCGCGACAGUUUACCUGAACCCUACGGGGUCGGUGCUUGAACAAUCCGUACGCAACCAUAAUCUGGUCAGAUUAGAGUUCGAAAUUUCCUCACACAUUUUGAACUAUUUGAGAAGAGCACCUCGAGAUACAGGCAUUAGUUUAGAGCAGACUCGUAGUUUGAGGUCGAGAAUAAAUCGUCAGCACCAUCUUGUCUAAACGAAUACUCUACUACAAGGGCACACGGAACGUUGGAAUUGAGAACAAAAAAUAAGUAUACAGAAUCAAAUAGAACGGGGAAAAGAUACAAAAACAAUAGAAAAACAAAACAAAAGAAGGCUAGGAAGAGAAUGGAUCAUUUUCCUAAAGUGCUCUAGCUUUGCGAAUCGAGAAGCGUCGGGCGAGUCCUUCGCUCGGAUUCGCCACCGAGCUCUCCUCUUCGUCUCGUUACCUUUUUGGGUGCCGUGAUAGUUAAAACACCAUCCGAAGAAAGGCUCGAGGUAAUAUUGAUCACAUCGUGAGAUGGAGGCAAGACGUAUCUCCGUACGAAGUGUCUGCUGAUAAAUCCGUGCUCGUCUUGUCUCUCCUCGUGUUUGGCUUCGACAAUAACGUUGUUACCGACCGUCUUCACCGUGAUCUCCUCCGGUGAGAAUUGUUGAACGUCCAAUAUUACCUGCGCAGAUCAGAGCGAAGCAGUUAAGACAGGUCCAACGGGGAAAACUAUCAUUUUUUAGGAGCACGAUGUUGCGUGUAGUAA